RNAcentral lists this ribosomal RNA (767 nucleotides) under uncultured Streptococcus sp. RNAcentral describes it as "bacterial SSU rRNA". It matches the Rfam family "Bacterial small subunit ribosomal RNA", at positions 27 to 776 of the family's 1533-position model. The record is from RNAcentral. Lineage: Bacteria; Bacillati; Bacillota; Bacilli; Lactobacillales; Streptococcaceae.
GGACGAACGCCGGCGGCGUGCCUAAUACAUGCAAGUAGAACGCUGAAGAGAGGAGCUUGCUCUUUCUUGGAUGAGUUGCGAACGGGUGAGUAACGCGUAGGUAACCUGCCUUGUAGCGGGGGAUAACUAUUGGAAACGAUAGCUAAUACCGCAUAACAAUGGAUGACUCAUGUCAUUUAUUUGAAAGGGGCAAAUGCUCCACUACAAGAUGGACCUGCGUUGUAUUAGCUAGUAGGUGAGGUAACGGCUCACCUAGGCGACGAUACAUAGCCGACCAGAGAGGGUGAUCGGCCACACUGGGACUGAGACACGGCCCAGACUCCUACGGGAGGCAGCAGUAGGGAAUCUUCGGCAAUGGGGGCAACCCUGACCGAGCAACGCCGCGUGAGUGAAGAAGGUUUUCGGAUCGUAAAGCUCUGUUGUAAGUCAAGAACGAGUGUGAGAGUGGAAAGUUCACACUGUGACGGUAGCUUACCAGAAAGGGACGGCUAACUACGUGCCAGCAGCCGCGGUAAUACGUAGGUCCCGAGCGUUGUCCGGAUUUAUUGGGCGUAAAGCGAGCGCAGGCGGUUUGAUAAGUCUGAAGUUGAAGGCUGUGGCUCAACCACAGUUCGCUUUGGAAACUGUCAAACUUGAGUGCAGAAGGGGAGAGUGGAAUUCCAUGUGUAGCGGUGAAAUGCGUAGAUAUAUGGAGGAACACCGGUGGCGAAAGCGGCUCUCUGGUCUGUAACUGACGCUAAGGCUCGAAAGCGUGGGGAGCGAACAGG